CGUGUAGGCGGGUCUUUAAGUCAGGGGUGAAAUGCCAAGGCUCAACCUUGGAACUGCCUUUGAUACUGGAGACCUUGAGUCCGGGAGAGGUGAGUGGAAUUGCGAGUGUAGAGGUGAAAUUCGUAGAUAUUCGCAAGAACACCAGUGGCGAAGGCGGCUCACUGGCCCGGAACUGACGCUGAGACGCGAAAGCGUGGGGAGCAAACAGGAUUAGAUACCCUGGUAGUCCACGCUGUAAACGAUGGAUGCUAGCCGUUGGGGAGCUUGCUCUUCAGUGGCGCAGCUAACGCUUUAAGCAUCCCGCCUGGGGAGUACGGUCGCAAGAUUAAA
This 330-nucleotide ribosomal RNA is filed under the name uncultured bacterium. Its description in RNAcentral is "bacterial SSU rRNA". It matches the Rfam family "Bacterial small subunit ribosomal RNA", at positions 568 to 898 of the family's 1533-position model. The record is from RNAcentral.